UACGUAGGGGGCAAACGUUGUUCGGAUUUAUUGGGCGUAAAGAGCUCGUAGGCGGCUCGGUAAGUCGGAUGUGAAAUCUCCAGGCUCAACCUGGAGACGCCAUCUGAUACUGCCGUGGCUUGAGUCCGGUAGAGGAGCAGGGAAUUCCUGGUGUAGCGGUGAAAUGCGCAGAUAUCAGGAGGAACACCCGGGGCGAAGGCGGCCCUCUGGCUCGACCCUGACGCUGAGGCGCGAAAGCGUGGGGAGCGAACGGG
RNAcentral lists this ribosomal RNA (254 nucleotides) under uncultured bacterium. RNAcentral describes it as "partial 16S ribosomal RNA". It matches the Rfam family "Bacterial small subunit ribosomal RNA", at positions 524 to 776 of the family's 1533-position model. The record is from RNAcentral.